GGGCUCAUAGCUUAGUUUGGUGGAGCGCCUGACUGAUAAUCAGGAGGUCGUGAGUUCAAAUCUCACUGGGCCCA
RNAcentral lists this transfer RNA (74 nucleotides) under Candidatus Aenigmarchaeota archaeon CG1_02_38_14. Its description in RNAcentral is "tRNA-Ile". It matches the Rfam family "tRNA". Rfam says of the family: Transfer RNA (tRNA) molecules are approximately 80 nucleotides in length. The record is from RNAcentral. Lineage: Archaea; Nanobdellati; Candidatus Aenigmatarchaeota. RNAcentral also lists the same sequence under 4 other names.